This 851-nucleotide ribosomal RNA is filed under the name Klebsiella variicola. RNAcentral's name for it is "bacterial LSU rRNA". It matches the Rfam family "Bacterial large subunit ribosomal RNA", at positions 1 to 887 of the family's 2925-position model. Lineage: Bacteria; Pseudomonadati; Pseudomonadota; Gammaproteobacteria; Enterobacterales; Enterobacteriaceae. The record is from RNAcentral.
GGGUUGUGAGGUUAAGCGACUAAGCGUACACGGUGGAUGCCCUGGCAGUCAGAGGCGAUGAAGGACGUGCUAAUCUGCGAAAAGCGUCGGUAAGGUGAUAUGAACCGUUAUAACCGGCGAUGUCCGAAUGGGGAAACCCAGUGCAAUUCGUUGCACUAUCGUUAACUGAAUACAUAGGUUAACGAGGCGAACCGGGGGAACUGAAACAUCUAAGUACCCCGAGGAAAAGAAAUCAACCGAGAUUCCCCCAGUAGCGGCGAGCGAACGGGGAGCAGCCCAGAGUCUGAAUCAGCUUGUGUGUUAGUGGAACGGUCUGGAAAGUCCGACGGUACAGGGUGAUAGUCCCGUACACCAAAAUGCACAGGUUGUGAACUCGAAGAGUAGGGCGGGACACGUGGUAUCCUGUCUGAAUAUGGGGGGACCAUCCUCCAAGGCUAAAUACUCCUGACUGACCGAUAGUGAACCAGUACCGUGAGGGAAAGGCGAAAAGAACCCCGGCGAGGGGAGUGAAAAAGAACCUGAAACCGUGUACGUACAAGCAGUGGGAGCACCUUCGGGUGUGACUGCGUACCUUUUGUAUAAUGGGUCAGCGACUUAUAUUCUGUAGCAAGGUUAACCGUAUAGGGGAGCCGCAGGGAAACCGAGUCUUAACUGGGCGUUAAGUUGCAGGGUAUAGACCCGAAACCCGGUGAUCUAGCCAUGGGCAGGUUGAAGGUUGGGUAACACUAACUGGAGGACCGAACCGACUAAUGUUGAAAAAUUAGCGGAUGACUUGUGGCUGGGGGUGAAAGGCCAAUCAAACCGGGAGAUAGCUGGUUCUCCCCGAAAGCUAUUUAGGUAGCGCCUCGUGA